CCGUGCUAGUCGGGGCGUUAGCGGUGCCUUGUAGCCCACAAUCCGCUAUAGUGGGGACGAUGCCUGUUUGAGGUAUUUGUUUUGUAUGGUCUGCCCUUUUGCGUUGGUGUUGAAGAUGGAGUCCUGUGCAACAAAAACUUAUGAACCGUGUCAGGGUCGGAAGACAGCAGCACUAAGUAAGCACUUUUGUGUGCCCCAGGGUAGCUUGAUUGGAGCCGACAAGGAAGGUAACGUGUGGAAAGCAAUAUCGAGGAUAGGUGCACGG
This 265-nucleotide signal recognition particle RNA is filed under the name chicken gut metagenome. RNAcentral describes it as "Bacterial large signal recognition particle RNA". It matches the Rfam family "Bacterial large signal recognition particle RNA". From Rfam's summary of the family: The signal recognition particle (SRP) is a universally conserved ribonucleoprotein involved in the co-translational targeting of proteins to membranes. Archaeal SRP consists of a 7S RNA and homologues of the eukaryotic SRP19 and SRP54 proteins. The record is from RNAcentral.